This 1248-nucleotide ribosomal RNA is filed under the name metagenome. RNAcentral's name for it is "bacterial LSU rRNA". It matches the Rfam family "Bacterial large subunit ribosomal RNA", at positions 1635 to 2872 of the family's 2925-position model. The record is from RNAcentral.
UACACGACCGUACCGCAAACCGACACUGGUGCGCGAGAUGAGUAUUCUAAGGCGCUUGAGAGAACUCAGGAGAAGGAACUCGGCAAAUUGACACCGUAACUUCGGAAGAAGGUGUGCCUUUAGUAGGUGAACCAUUUACUUGGGGAGCCCAAUGAGGCUGCAAAAAAUCGGUGGCUGCAACUGUUUAUUAAAAACACAGCACUCUGCUAAGACGAAAGUCGACGUAUAGGGUGUGACGCCUGCCCGGUGCUGGAAGAUUAAAUGAUGGGGUGCAAGCUCUUGAUUGAAGUCCCAGUAAACGGCGGCCGUAACAAUAACGGUCCUAAGGUAGCGAAAUUCCUUGUCGGGUAAGUUCCGACCUGCACGAAUGGCGUAAUGAUGGCCACACUGUCUCCUCCUGAGACUCAGCGAAGUUGAAAUGUUUGUGAUGAUGCAAUCUCCCCGCGGAAAGACGGAAAGACCCCAUGAACCUUUACUGUAGCUUUGUAUUGGACUUUGAACAGAUCUGUGUAGGAUAGGUGGGAGGCUUUGAAGUGUGGUCGCUAGAUCGCAUGGAGCCAACGUUGAAAUACCACCCUGGUGUGUUUGAGGUUCUAACCUAGGUCCAUUAUCUGGAUCGGGGACAGUGCAUGGUAGGCAGUUUGACUGGGGCGGUCUCCUCCCAAAGUGUAACGGAGGAGUUCGAAGGUACGCUAGGUACGGUCGGACAUCGUGCUAAUAGUGCAAUGGCAUAAGCGUGCUUAACUGCGAGACUGACAAGUCGAGCAGAUGCGAAAGCAGGACAUAGUGAUCCGGUGGUUCUGUAUGGAAGGGCCAUCGCUCAACGGAUAAAAGGUACUCUGGGGAUAACAGGCUGAUACCGCCCAAGAGUUCAUAUCGACGGCGGUGUUUGGCACCUCGAUGUCGGCUCAUCUCAUCCUGGGGCUGUAGCCGGUCCCAAGGGUAUGGCUGUUCGCCAUUUAAAGAGGUACGUGAGCUGGGUUUAAAACGUCGUGAGACAGUUUGGUCCCUAUCUUCCGUGGGCGCUGCAGAUUUGAGGAAGCCUGCUCCUAGUACGAGAGGACCGGAGUGGACGAACCUCUGGUGUAUCGGUUGUCACGCCAGUGGCAUUGCCGAGUAGCUAAGUUCGGAAGAGAUAACCGCUGAAAGCAUCUAAGCGGGAAACUCGUUUCAAGAUUAGAUCUGCCGGGGCCUUGAGCCCCCUAAAGAGUCGUUCAAGACCAGGACGUUGAUAGGUCAGGUGUGGAA